Molecule: transfer RNA, 72 nt
Filed under: Bacteroidota bacterium
Lineage: Bacteria; Pseudomonadati; Bacteroidota
Also listed under: 2 other names
Description: Bacteroidetes bacterium tRNA-Arg
Rfam family: tRNA
About the family: Transfer RNA (tRNA) molecules are approximately 80 nucleotides in length. Their secondary structure includes four short double-helical elements and three loops (D, anti-codon, and T loops).
Source: RNAcentral
GGUCCCGUAGUUCAACGGAUAGAAUAGGAGUUUCCUAAACUCUAGAUAGCAGUUCGAUUCUGCUCGGGACUA